Molecule: ribosomal RNA, 253 nt
Filed under: uncultured bacterium
Lineage: Bacteria
Description: partial 16S ribosomal RNA
Rfam family: Bacterial small subunit ribosomal RNA
Source: RNAcentral
UACGUAGGUGGCAAGCGUUGUCCGGAUUUACUGGGCGUAAAGAGCUCGUAGGCGGUUUGUCGCGUCUGCUGUGAAAGACCGGGGCUCAACUCCGGUUCUGCAGUGGGUACGGGCAGACUAGAGUGAUGUAGGGGAGACUGGAAUUCCUGGUGUAGCGGUGAAAUGCGCAGAUAUCAGGAGGAACACCGAUGGCGAAGGCAGGUCUCUGGGCAUUAACUGACGCUGAGGAGCGAAAGCAUGGGGAGCGAACAGG